CCUACGGGAGGCAGCAGUGGGGAAUAUUGCACAAUGGGGGGAACCCUGAUGCAGCGACGCCGCGUGGGUGAAGAAGCGCCUCGGCGCGUAAAGCCCUGUCAGCAGGGAAGAAAAUGACGGUACCUGAAGAAGAAGCCCCGGCUAACUACGUGCCAGCAGCCGCGGUAAUACGUAGGGGGCAAGCGUUAUCCGGAUUUACUGGGUGUUAAGGGGGCGUAGACGGUGAUGCAAGCCAGGAGUGAACGCCCGGGGCCCAACCCCGGGACUGCUGUUGGAACUGGGUGGCUGGAGUGCAGGAGAGGUAGGCGGAAUUCGUGGUGUAGCGGUGAAAUGCGUAGAUAUCAGGAGGAACACCAGUGGCGAAGGCGGCCUGCUGGACUGCAACUGACGUUGAGGCCCGAAAGCGUGGGGAGCAAACAGGAUUAGAUACCCGUGUAGUC
RNAcentral lists this ribosomal RNA (440 nucleotides) under uncultured bacterium. RNAcentral describes it as "partial 16S ribosomal RNA". It matches the Rfam family "Bacterial small subunit ribosomal RNA", at positions 338 to 795 of the family's 1533-position model. The record is from RNAcentral.